CUUAGGCUCCCAAAGGCA
RNAcentral lists this small nuclear RNA (18 nucleotides) under Arabidopsis thaliana (thale cress). RNAcentral's name for it is "snRNA_08667". Lineage: Eukaryota; Viridiplantae; Streptophyta; Magnoliopsida; Brassicales; Brassicaceae. The record is from RNAcentral.